AAUGUACACACCGCCCGUCGCUUUUACCGAUUGAGUGUUCAGGUGAGUCUUCUUGAUAGUGUCAAAGCUAAAAUUGAACAAACCUUAGCACUUAGAGGAAAAAGAAGUCGUAACAAGGUUUCCGUAGGUGAACCUGCGG
This 139-nucleotide ribosomal RNA is filed under the name uncultured Peritrichia. RNAcentral describes it as "partial 18S ribosomal RNA". It matches the Rfam family "Eukaryotic small subunit ribosomal RNA", at positions 1659 to 1820 of the family's 1831-position model. The record is from RNAcentral. Lineage: Eukaryota; Ciliophora; Oligohymenophorea.